RNAcentral lists this ribosomal RNA (704 nucleotides) under Nocardia sp. YIM 64751. Its description in RNAcentral is "bacterial SSU rRNA". It matches the Rfam family "Bacterial small subunit ribosomal RNA", at positions 66 to 786 of the family's 1533-position model. The record is from RNAcentral. Lineage: Bacteria; Bacillati; Actinomycetota; Actinomycetes; Mycobacteriales; Nocardiaceae.
GCGGUAAGCGCCCUUCGGGGUACACGAGCGGCGAACGGGUGAGUAACACGUGGGUGAUCUGCCUCGUACUUCGGGAUAAGCCUGGGAAACUGGGUCUAAUACCGGAUAUGACCAGGGACUGCAUGGUUUCUGGUGGAAAGAUUUAUCGGUGCGAGAUGGGCCCGCGGCCUAUCAGCUUGUUGGUGGGGUAAUGGCCUACCAAGGCGACGACGGGUAGCCGACCUGAGAGGGUGACCGGCCACACUGGGACUGAGACACGGCCCAGACUCCUACGGGAGGCAGCAGUGGGGAAUAUUGCACAAUGGGCGAAAGCCUGAUGCAGCGACGCCGCGUGAGGGAUGACGGCCUUCGGGUUGUAAACCUCUUUCGACAGGGACGAAGCGCAAGUGACGGUACCUGUAGAAGAAGCACCGGCCAACUACGUGCCAGCAGCCGCGGUAAUACGUAGGGUGCGAGCGUUGUCCGGAAUUACUGGGCGUAAAGAGCUUGUAGGCGGUCUGUCGCGUCUUCUGUGAAAACUCACAGCUCAACUGUGAGCUUGCAGGGGAUACGGGCAGACUAGAGUACUUCAGGGGAGACUGGAAUUCCUGGUGUAGCGGUGAAAUGCGCAGAUAUCAGGAGGAACACCGGUGGCGAAGGCGGGUCUCUGGGAAGUAACUGACGCUGAGAAGCGAAAGCGUGGGUAGCGAACAGGAUUAGAUACC